GUUAGGUGAACCAUAUCCUCACAAUUGCUCAUAUAAACUAUUCAGAAUAUGUGAAAAAUCAUCUCAUGAUGACUCCAUGUGCUGAGAGAAUAUGAGAAACAUUUUGAUACAGACUACUAAAACUAUACCUAAAAGUUUACAUACACAGAUUAAUUUGUGUCUUUGUAAACAUUUUAUCUCAAAGUUUAAUUAAUAAAAAGAAAAUCAUGUCAAAUUACUAGUGAUGUUUCUCACUAUGUUACUCUUUAGUUAUGGUUGUCUUCACUAGCAUAAGAACUAUGACUCGGAAUCCUCUCCCAAAGCUAAGUUGCUGAGUGUACUAUGGUAAAUGAUUUGAAGUUUUUGUUUACAUCUCCAGGCAUAGGUAUUGAAUUUUGUUCAGGAUAGUUCAAAACAUCUUUUUUGAGCAGUGAAAGUGCAGCUAGAAUGGGAACAAUUCUUCAUUUUUCCCAAUCUACUGUUCAAUUCUUUCAUUUGACUGUUUCGAACACUAAUGAUUUAGUAGCUGAAGAUAUAAUUAUUAGUUGAAAUGAAAGGGAUGAGGACUUAAAAAUCACUGGGGUUCCUCAGGUUUAACAAUGGUUAAGUACUGUCAAUCUUUUUAUUUAUGAGUAAUGUAAAAGAAGGCCAGUUAAUAUAAAUGUUAUAAAUUUAGGCACUAACCUCUAGUUUUUCUAUUGAUACUACAUUUACUUGCUUCUCUUUUUUCUUAUUUGAGCUCUGUUAUGUAGAUCGUUCACUUAUUUGAAUUCUGAUGAAGGGAGGUCAUUCACCGAAGGAAGAUUUACUCAUAUGUCAUGCAUACCAUUGAAAUCAGAUUAAUGUUUGUUUCAUCUAAGUGCUUAGCAACCUUCUCUGUACAACCAAUGGUAGCAUGCUUGAUAUGGAAAAUUUGAUAGUAUGGAUAGUAUUAUAAAUGUAAUAAGCUAAAGUUUUUAUCAUUUUAUUGUUUAUAUAUAACCAACAAUGCUUACUAAAAUGCACCAAGAUUGUUUUGAGAUAUUGUUUGAUCAAUUGCUUCUCCUUUUCAUUUAUCUUUUUAAUUUGAUUAUCUUUAUUAAUGAAUUUAUCAUUCAGUAUUCUGUAUAAAAAUGGCAUAGUCGCAAAAGAUAAGAAACUUUGCCUAAUUUUUACUAAGUUGUAAAAGUCUAUGAAAUUUAGUGGAUGCAUUAAUUGGGAAUACUAACCCGUAAGGUGGUUUGCAAGUUCAUAAGAUAUUUGGCAACAUAUGGACUAAGAUUGCAAAGGUGAUUUCAAGUAGGUAACAAUAUAAUUCAAGAAUUUUCUUAGUAUUAUGUUGAAUUUUAUGAGAAAUAGUUUUUAUAAUAAAUAUAUACAUCCUAUGUUACUUUUCUCGUACAGAAUUGAUAAUGUCUAAAGAAUCGGUUCACGAAUUUGUGUAAGAAGAAAGCAAAGUACAAAGCCUUGGCAAAAGAAAACAAAGCUUCAUACAUCAACAUAAACAACAAAAAGUUUAUUUUUCCAAAUGGAUUCAAUGCAGAGGAAGCAUCUGAAUAAGCAGCAUCUCUAAAAAUGAUGAGUUAGAUUAAUUUAACCCUUUCCAGAAAAUGUUGUUGAUAUCAAAAUUCAGCUAAACAGCAUUAAUUUUUUUGGUUAAUAGGGCACACAUAUCAAAUCCUACUGAUAAUUGCCCACAAGGAGAAAAAAUAGUUACAAACUAUCUAUUUAGACCCCUUUUUGCAGUACUGGCACAGGAUAAAUUGUUGACUCACUUUUCCUUGACCAAUUUGUGCAGUGGUUGGUUUUGAUCCUUGACUGAUUAUAAUUAACAUUGUAGUAUUCUUGUUCAGAAACAAACAGAUCUUAUACUGAAUGCUAUUGAUUUGGAUGCUAUGUGGCUAUGCCAGAGGGGGAGAAUUAUGUCGUUGAUGAUGCAACUGGUGCUGAAAAGGUCAAUUGAUUGCUCUAAUUUGUUUUUGUUUUUGUUUUUUUUUUUUCCUUUUUUGAUGUAAAUGUUGGAUUUAAGUAUUUAUAAUAUCUCUUAUUUUCCUACCUGUUUCUCCAUUACAUCCUGUCGUAGUUUUUUUAGUACAGGGAUUUGUAGAUAAACUUGUUAUAUAAUGAAAAUUUAAUGGAAACUCCACUCUAAGGUAGAAUGCAGUAUCUUUUGAACUUGAAUGUUUGCAUAUCGCGUAGCCAGUCUAUAAAAUGUUUGAGAAAUUUCUUUAAUUCUAUUAGUUGGAUAGCUUUCUAUUCAAUUUGCUUUUAAUUCGUGGCUUGCCUACUUUACACCGGUGCAAUUUGCAUUACAACAUAUUGAGUUUCUUUGAAAUGAGUUACAUCAAGAAGUAUAAAGGAAAACUAAUAUAACUUCCAACUUAUUGGGUUAUUUUUGGAAAAACAUACAUCAAUGCCUCUUAUUUUUAUGGGAUUGGUCUAUAAAUUUAGUUUAACGCGGAAUGUAUUUCAGUGACAAAUUUAAUUUGUUGGACUAUCUGUUUAAUAACAUGUUUGUGAGUUGUUCAUAAUCCGGUUAAUUAAAUAUAUAGGAACCAGUGAUGGAUAAUUAGGUAGUACUUGUGGGUCCUGCAAAAUGUGUUUACAAAAUGUGGUUGGACCGAUUAUAAAUAGUUCAUGAACAUUAGCCAAACAUGGGCUUGAAACCUAAAUCUAUUCAUUCGAUAAAUUUCUUUAAUCUUUAGUUAUGUGCAUUUUGACUUUUAAGUCUUUGUCUGGCACUGGUUGUCCUGUGGAUGGGAAGGUACUGAUAAGGUCUAGGCAUAUAGUUUUUGUAGUUUCUAGGUGGUCUUUCUCAUUUUGCAACUUUUCUUUUCCAUAGUAGAAUGUAAACCUAUAAUGCCAAUAAAAAUCUGUGCAUCUUACCAUGCAGUCUGCUUUGUCAUUUGAUCAAAAGAUGUCAAGUAGCAGCAUAUUUGGAACAGAGAGUGGGAGAAUACCUCGAUUAGAGUUUUUCAUACUUCAACUUUUCUCUUUAAAUGAAAAUACUCAACAGGGAUUGGAAAAGCUAAUUAAUGUCUUAAUCCAUUAAACAUGAAAUUCUUUUAUGAGAUCAAUUUAGAUUGGUUCAUGGCCCUGGGCAACAGACAUGCUACAGUGGCUAGGACAAUCGGACAUUCAUUUACUGUAAUUCACUAGAAAAUUGAAUCUAUACUUUUGGUCUUCAUCUUCGGGAUGGUUAUAAUCCAUUUUUGGAUCUCACUUCAAGUGCUGAGAAGCAGAUACCGUCAGUGAUCGAGCACUUGAAUUCAAAAUGGGAAAGUUCAAGUGUAGCACAUGGCCAACUUAUGCUCUUCCCCUGUAAUAUGAAAUCAGUGAAAAUUGCUUCAUGCAAAAGAUGGACAUAAAAUGACUAUGGCAUUACUGCAGGAGAGGUUUAUGUUUCUGUGGAAAGUCUUUCGAUUUUUCGCCUAAGAUCUGAAGCUUCUUGCCGCAACAUUGCUUUCUUCAGUUUGGGAGUUUUGUCUUUUUAUUUGUUUAUUAUAUUGCUUUCCAUCUAUGGUUGGUUCUCCAAUACUGGUGAAAAUGUUUGGAGUAGCUUUGACAGGAGCUAUAGCAAAGUUUUGAAGAUUUCAAAUGAUCAAGAGGAAAAAGCCUAGUUGAGUGUUGAAAACAUCAAAGAUCCAUUCAACAUAGUAGUAUAGUAGAUUCAAGCGUGAAUGAGCUAAAGUCAUUGGAUAUACCGAUGAAUCAUGUGGUAAUUUUCAAUUCUCUUCUAUUCUUCUACUGAUACUCAUUUCAUUUAAGAUCAAAGUAAUCAAAUUUUGAAGUUAUUUCAAUAUAUCUAACAUCCGCAUGUUAAACUAGCUUGUUUGUCAUGCACUUCCAUCCAAUGGUCAAUAACAAGUUAGUAAAAGGACAAACAGUUGGAACAUAUAUACAGGUUUUGAUACCAUAAUAAUGGGAGAAGUCAUGAUAGGUUUUGAAUAUUUGUCGUAAAGAAUGGCAACUUUCAGUUAUCAAAUAUUACUCUCUUUCUGUUGGAUCCACUAAGGUUGAGGGAGGGAGAAUUUUGGGUUAUGAUAAGGUUUGCUAGAAACUUUUUAAUCCGAAUAAAAUUAUUUAUAGGUUUAAAAGCCUAUCUUUGUGCUAUGAGAGGUGAACGAGAAUCGUGUUUUAUGAAAGUAGAUUGAAUAGAACUUGAGAUCCAUAAUUUUUUAUUAAGAAUAAUUGGAAUUACGUAGAGAAGAAGAAAGAAUAAGAUUAUGGAAAGCAAACCUAUUUUCAGUAAUAAUCAAGGCAAGGUUCAUUAGCAAAAUCAAUAUGGAAGUUUCAAAUAAUUCAGUUUCAUUUUUAGAUUUUUUUCACACACCGUAUAUAGCUGUUACAUUUCUGUCUUUACAAGACCAGCUAUUCUGAAGUUCAUAAUUUUUUAAAAAUAUUCUGUAACACAUUAAAAUUUAAUCAAAUGAAAAUACAUAAAAACUAAUUAACUUUAAUGCUUAAAUUAGAGAAUCUUAGGUCCAAAAUCUGUUGCAUGCACUUUUUUCAAUUUUGUCUUCAUAAAUUCUGUGAUGUGAAGGGUCAAAUCCUUGGUAGAGGAGUAUAGAUGAGUUUUAACCAUCAGACUAAGACUAUAUGGGCAGCCUAUGAUACUCGGACUCGGGUAUGGGUAUCGGGUAUGGGUAAUAUCCAAGUGUCGGAUCUUUUAUUUUCUAAAAUAUAGGAUACG
Molecule: long non-coding RNA, 4651 nt
Filed under: Olea europaea subsp. europaea
Lineage: Eukaryota; Viridiplantae; Streptophyta; Magnoliopsida; Lamiales; Oleaceae
Source: RNAcentral